GAUAAGGUAUUAAUGACUGUGCCUCGUAAUUUGCUGCCAUACACA
RNAcentral lists this non-coding RNA (45 nucleotides) under Plasmodium falciparum 3D7. The record is from RNAcentral. Lineage: Eukaryota; Apicomplexa; Aconoidasida; Haemosporida; Plasmodiidae.